This is a long non-coding RNA of Girardinichthys multiradiatus, 1286 nucleotides long. RefSeq lists it as uncharacterized. The transcript is spliced from 2 exons. Lineage: Eukaryota; Metazoa; Chordata; Actinopteri; Cyprinodontiformes; Goodeidae. The record is from RefSeq and is a predicted model, not a curated record.
UGAGAUCAAGACUGAGAUGUUCCUUGUUUUAAGAAGAAUAAAACUGAACAAUUUGAGAGAAAUUUGAACAACAUUUCAAAGAAUUUAACCAGAGGGAGUCAAUAAGUCAACAUGAUGGACUGUAGGAAGGAGAUUCCAGAAAGACUGGCUUCAACUUCUCAUCAGGAGCUUAUUUGUUGUGAAGAACCUGAGAGGUUAUAUUUUGAGGAGUUCAGGGUUCAAACUGAAAAGUUGAAAAGCACCAAGAGAAGAGAGCUAAGAAGGGAGUGGACCCGAUGGUGUGGAGGAACUGUCUGUGACCAGAAGAUGCCAGUGGUGGAGUUCCUGGGUUCAAGUCCUGCCUGAGACGACCUGGAGAGAAGAUCUAGACCUGCUGCAGAGAGUGGGUGAGGGGGCCGUGUCCCCUCCCCGGAUAAUCAAGAGACCAGCUCAGGUGAAAGGUCAGACUGUCAAACAGGAAGUGAAAGCUUCCACUUCCUUUUAUAGGGCGGAGCCAAGCAGACUCCACUAACAGGGCUGGAUAUCUUUACUGUCCACAGAUCACAUCUCCAGAGUCUGUCUGUCCAUCUGAUCCAUGAAUAAACUGAAGCUGACAUCUGGUGACACCAGAAAUCACAGCUUUGUCAUCAGGAUGGAUGAGAUUUUGCAAUGGAGCACCUGGUCUUCAGACCAGAAUCUGAGGAGAAAACUGUCUCUGAUGUUUCUUUCUCUGAAUGGAGAUAAAUAAAUGUUGACUUUAGUUUUUCAUUUAGUCACCUUCAGAGAAACAUUGCUGAUAAACUGAUGGAGAUGAUCUCAGAGUGUAACGUUUGAAACAUGUUUCAUGAUCAUCUGUGACCUGGUAGAUCAGGUGUUGGUUAGUAUGAACUGCAUGGGCUUCAUCUAAAACCAACUGUGUCAUGGUUUAAACCCAGUAAACUGGAGAAAAGACAGACAGGGAAUGAAACACAGAAUAGAAUAAAAAAGAUUUCAUUUUGACAGAGCUCCAAUGACAACUUUCCUGCAUUGAAAAUACAACAAAUGUUUUAAGACAUAAAACAUUUUUUAUUUCCUUGUUUUCCUUCAAAUGGUUUUAAGAAGCAACAUUCAGCUUUCUGACCCAGUAACUCAUUUUAUUAAGAAUUAAUUAAGAAACCAAACACAUUUAACACGACUAAAACAAGAUGAAUUGCUAAAGGAAAGAACUCAGUGUGUCGUGUGAAUUAUUCAUGAUGUGAUUUUUGAUCAGUUAUUUAGAUUGAAAAUAAAAGCAAAUAAAAGCAGAAGGUUGCAGUAAACAGAUAAAA